GACGAACGCUGGCGGCGCGCCUAACACAUGCAAGUCGAACGAGAGAUGAGGAGCUUGCUCUUCAAAUCGAGUGGCGAACGGGUGAGUAACGCGUGAGGAACCUGCCUCAAAGAGGGGGACAACAGUUGGAAACGACUGCUAAUACCGCAUAAGCCCACAGCUCGGCAUCGAGCAGAGGGAAAAGGAGCAAUCCGCUUUGAGAUGGCCUCGCGUCCGAUUAGCUAGUUGGUGAGGUAACGGCCCACCAAGGCGACGAUCGGUAGCCGGACUGAGAGGUUGAACGGCCACAUUGGGACUGAGACACGGCCCAGACUCCUACGGGAGGCAGCAGUGGGGAAUAUUGCACAAUGGGGGAAACCCUGAUGCAGCGACGCCGCGUGGAGGAAGAAGGUCUUCGGAUUGUAAACUCCUGUUGUUG
This 418-nucleotide ribosomal RNA is filed under the name uncultured bacterium. Its description in RNAcentral is "bacterial SSU rRNA". It matches the Rfam family "Bacterial small subunit ribosomal RNA", at positions 28 to 441 of the family's 1533-position model. The record is from RNAcentral.